Molecule: ribosomal RNA, 490 nt
Filed under: uncultured bacterium
Lineage: Bacteria
Description: partial 16S ribosomal RNA
Rfam family: Bacterial small subunit ribosomal RNA
Source: RNAcentral
AUUGAACGCUGGCGGCAGGCCUAACACAUGCAAGUCGAACGGUAACAGGAAGCAGCUUGCUGCUUUGCUGACGAGUGGCGGACGGGUGAGUAAUGUCUGGGAAACUGCCCGAUGGAGGGGGAUAACUACUGGAAACGGUAGCUAAUACCGCAUAACGUCGCAAGACCAAAGAGGGGGACCUUAGGGCCUCUUGCCAUCGGAUGUGCCCAGAUGGGAUUAGCUAGUAGGUGGGGUAACGGCUCACCUAGGCGACGAUCCCUAGCUGGUCUGAGAGGAUGACCAGCCACACUGGAACUGAGACACGGUCCAGACUCCUACGGGAGGCAGCAGUGGGGAAUAUUGCGCAAUGGGCGCAAGCCUGAUGCAGCCAUGCCGCGUGUAUGAAGAAGGCCUUCGGGUUGUAAAGUACUUUCAGCGGGGAGGAAGGGAGUAAAGUUAAUACCUUUGCUCAUUGACGUUACCCGCAGAAGAAGCACCGGCUAACUCCGUG